CGGGAACUCAAAGGAGACUGCCAGUGAUAAACUGGAGGAAGGUGGGGAUGACGUCAAGUCAUCAUGGCCCUUACGAGUAGGGCUACACACGUGCUACAAUGGCAUAUACAAAGAGAAGCGACCUCGCGAGAGCAAGCGGACCUCAUAAAGUAUGUCGUAGUCCGGAUUGGAGUCUGCAACUCGACUCCAUGAAGUCGGAAUCGCUAGUAAUCGUGGAUCAGAAUGCCACGGUGAAUACGUUCCCGGGCCUUGUACACACCGCCCGUCACACCAUGGGAGUGGGUUGCAAAAGAAGUAGGUAGCUUAACCUUCGGGAGGGCGCUUACCACUUUGUGAUUCAUGACUGGGGUGAAGUCGUAACAAGGUAACCGUAGGGGAACCUGCGGUUGGA
RNAcentral lists this ribosomal RNA (391 nucleotides) under Klebsiella oxytoca. RNAcentral describes it as "bacterial SSU rRNA". It matches the Rfam family "Bacterial small subunit ribosomal RNA", at positions 1132 to 1522 of the family's 1533-position model. Lineage: Bacteria; Pseudomonadati; Pseudomonadota; Gammaproteobacteria; Enterobacterales; Enterobacteriaceae. The record is from RNAcentral.